Molecule: transfer RNA, 77 nt
Filed under: bacterium
Lineage: Bacteria
Also listed under: 2 other names
Description: tRNA-Arg
Rfam family: tRNA
About the family: Transfer RNA (tRNA) molecules are approximately 80 nucleotides in length.
Source: RNAcentral
GCGCCCUUAGCUCAGCGGAUUAGAGCAACAGACUACGGAUCUGUGGGUCGGGGGUUCAAAUCCCUCAGGGCGCGCCA